Molecule: transfer RNA, 73 nt
Filed under: Ailuropoda melanoleuca (giant panda)
Lineage: Eukaryota; Metazoa; Chordata; Mammalia; Carnivora; Ursidae
Rfam family: tRNA
About the family: Transfer RNA (tRNA) molecules are approximately 80 nucleotides in length. Their secondary structure includes four short double-helical elements and three loops (D, anti-codon, and T loops).
Source: Rfam by way of RNAcentral
GCCUGACUGGCUCAAUUGGUAGAGUGUGUGACUCUUAAUCUUGGGGUUGUAAGUUUGAGUCCCAUGUUGGGUG